RNAcentral lists this ribosomal RNA (375 nucleotides) under uncultured organism. RNAcentral's name for it is "partial 16S ribosomal RNA". It matches the Rfam family "Bacterial small subunit ribosomal RNA", at positions 527 to 896 of the family's 1533-position model. The record is from RNAcentral.
GUAGGUGGCAAGCGUUGUCCGGAAUUAUUGGGCGUAAAGCGCGCGCAGGUGGUUCUUUAAGUCUGAUGUGAAAGACCCCCGGGCUCAACCCGGGGAGGGUCAUUGGAAACUGGGGAACUUGAGUGCAGGAGAGGAAAGUGGAAUUCCACGUGUAGCGGUGAAAUGCGUAGAUAUGUGGAGGAACACCAGUGGCGAAGGCGACUUUCUGGCCUGUAACUGACACUGAGGCGCGAAAGCGUGGGGAGCAAACAGGAUUAGAUACCCUGGUAGUCCACGCCGUAAACGAUGAGUGCUAAGUGUUGGGGGGUUUCCGCCCCUCAGUGCUGCAGCUAACGCAUUAAGCACUCCGCCUGGGGAGUACGGUCGCAAAGACUG